Molecule: ribosomal RNA, 116 nt
Filed under: Diaphorina citri (Asian citrus psyllid)
Lineage: Eukaryota; Metazoa; Arthropoda; Insecta; Hemiptera; Psyllidae
Source: RNAcentral
UAUUUCGGCAAUAACACGUUGAAAGCGUCAGUUUCCAAUGGAUCACUAAUGUUAAGCAACCUCGCGCGUGGUUGGUAUCCGGAUGGGUGACCAUCUGAGCAAUCUUGCUGGCUUUU